GGUUGAUCAGAGAACAUACAUU
Molecule: microRNA, 22 nt
Filed under: Dasypus novemcinctus (nine-banded armadillo)
Lineage: Eukaryota; Metazoa; Chordata; Mammalia; Cingulata; Dasypodidae
Also listed under: 10 other names
Description: dno-miR-3959-5p
Source: miRBase by way of RNAcentral